UGGCUGACAACUGCAGGUCUGCCACCUUCGACGCAGAGACGCUGGAGUGCCGCCUGAGCAGGGCCAGCCGGCGCCAGUUCCCGGACGACUACGUGGAAGCCGGCCGAGGCGUCGAGUACCUAGAGAACCAGUGUCUGGGCGCGGACACGCGCUGCGACUACGUGCCGACCACGGACAAGUACCCGCGCUACAUCGACCUGACGAUCCCGCGCGUGGACCGCAUCACGGACUGCGAGCGGCUCUGCACGAACAACCGCCAGUUCGUGUGCCGCUCGUUCGCUCUGUACACCACGGCCGGACAGUGUCUGCUGAGCGGAGACGAUGAGAUCUCGGCCGGUGAGAAGGCCUAUCUGUCACGCGCCGGGACGGACUUCUACCAGCGGGACUGCGUGGGUCGUCGUCCUGGCGGCGGCGGCAGACCUGAUGGCGGCAGGCCUGAUGGCGG
This is a long non-coding RNA of Pollicipes pollicipes, 445 nucleotides long. RefSeq lists it as uncharacterized. The record is from RefSeq and is a predicted model, not a curated record. The transcript has 4 exons. Lineage: Eukaryota; Metazoa; Arthropoda; Thecostraca; Pollicipedomorpha; Pollicipedidae.